UACGUAGGGCGCAAGCGUUGUCCGGAAUUAUUGGGCGUAAAGAGCUCGUAGGCGGCUUGUCACGUCGGGUGUGAAAGCCCGGGGCUUAACCCCGGGUCUGCAUUCGAUACGGGCUGGCUAGAGUGUGGUAGGGGAGAUCGGAAUUCCUGGUGUAGCGGUGAAAUGCGCAGAUAUCAGGAGGAACACCGGUGGCGAAGGCGGAUCUCUGGGCCAUUACUGACGCUGAGGAGCGAAAGUGUGGGGAGCGAACAGG
Molecule: ribosomal RNA, 253 nt
Filed under: uncultured bacterium
Lineage: Bacteria
Description: partial 16S ribosomal RNA
Rfam family: Bacterial small subunit ribosomal RNA
Source: RNAcentral